This 548-nucleotide ribosomal RNA is filed under the name Chloroparvula japonica. Its description in RNAcentral is "partial Bacterial small subunit ribosomal RNA". It matches the Rfam family "Bacterial small subunit ribosomal RNA", at positions 249 to 790 of the family's 1533-position model. Lineage: Eukaryota; Viridiplantae; Chlorophyta; Chloropicophyceae; Chloropicales; Chloropicaceae. The record is from RNAcentral.
UUGGUGAGGUAACGGCUCACCAAGGCAAAGACGGGUAGCCGGUCUGAGAGGAUGGUCGGCCACACUGGAACUGAGACACGGUCCAGACACCUACGGGUGGCAGCAGUCGAGAAUCAUUCACAAUGGGGGAAACCCUGAUGGUGCGACGCCGCGUGGGGGAUGAAUGGCUUCGGCCCGUAAACCCCUGUCAUUUGUGAACAAACCUUUUGGAGUAAUAUUUCAAAAGCUGAUAGUAGCAAAAGAGGAAGGGACGGCUAACUCUGUGCCAGCAGCCGCGGUAAUACAGAGGUCCCAAGCGUUGUUCGGAUUCACUGGGCGUAAAGAGUGCGUAGGUGGCUAGGUAAGUUCGAUGUGAAAGCUCCGAGCUCAACUCGGAAAUUGCAUUGAAAACUGCUUGGCUAGAGGAUCGGAGGGGAGACUGGAAUUUUCGGUGUAGCAGUGAAAUGCGUAGAUAUCGAGAGGAACACCAGUGGCGAAGGCGAGUCUCUGGACGAAUCCUGACACUGAGGCACGAAAGCUAGGGUAGCAAACAGGAUUAGAUACCCUGG